CCUCCCAACCCUGUCUCCUACACUACACUUCAACCUACAGAGGGAGCAGCACAAGCAAACAAAGUCAAACCAAAAAGAGGAGAGAAUAAGCAAACUCUUCAUUUUCCUGAGUAAGCACUCAUUGCGCAGAGCACUGCUGCAGAGGCAGACCUGAACACAUCCCAAGACUAUCGACACUGGUUUGGGGUUACAACGCUCAAUUCCCCCCUCUCCCCACCACUCAGAAACUACUGCAUAUUUGCAACAGCAGCAGAAACAGUGGGCAGAAUGCUGUAGUAUCCAGACAGACAGGAGAACGAACGGGGACGACAUCGAGAGGACAGUUAAACAAACGUGCCAGCAUUCUCCC
Molecule: long non-coding RNA, 349 nt
Organism: Oncorhynchus nerka (sockeye salmon)
Lineage: Eukaryota; Metazoa; Chordata; Actinopteri; Salmoniformes; Salmonidae
Exons: 3
Source: RefSeq, a predicted model, not a curated record